AUGUUAUCACGGGAGACACACGGCGGGUGCUAACGUCCGUCGUGAAGAGGGAAACAACCCAGACCGCCAGCUAAGGUCCCAAAGUCAUGGUUAAGUGGGAAACGAUGUGGGAAGGCCCAGACAGCCAGGAUGUUGGCUUAGAAGCAGCCAUCAUUUAAAGAAAGCGUAAUAGCUCACUGGUCGAGUCGGCCUGCGCGGAAGAUGUAACGGGGCUAAACCAUGCACCGAAGCUGCGGCAGCGACACUGUGUGUUGUUGGGUAGGGGAGCGUUCUGUAAGCCUGUGAAGGUGUGCUGUGAGGCAUGCUGGAGGUAUCAGAAGUGCGAAUGCUGACAUAAGUAACGAUAAAGCGGGUGAAAAGCCCGCUCGCCGGAAGACCAAGGGUUCCUGUCCAACGUUAAUCGGGGCAGGGUGAGUCGACCCCUAAGGCGAGGCCGAAAGGCGUAGUCGAUGGGAAACAGGUUAAUAUUCCUGUACUUGGUGUUACUGCGAAGGGGGGACGGAGAAGGCUAUGUUGGCCGGGCGACGGUUGUCCCGGUUUAAGCGUGUAGGCUGGUUUUCCAGGCAAAUCCGGAAAAUCAAGGCUGAGGCGUGAUGACGAGGCACUACGGUGCUGAAGCAACAAAUGCCCUGCUUCCAGGAAAAGCCUCUAAGCAUCAGGUAACAUCAAAUCGUACCCCAAACCGACACAGGUGGUCAGGUAGAGAAUACCAAGGCGCUUGAGAGAACUCGGGUGAAGGAACUAGGCAAAAUGGUGCCGUAACUUCGGGAGAAGGCACGCUGAUAUGUAGGUGAAGUCCCUCGCGGAUGGAGCUGAAAUCAGUCGAAGAUACCAGCUGGCUGCAACUGUUUAUUAAAAACACAGCACUGUGCAAACACGAAAGUGGACGUAUACGGUGUGACGCCUGCCCGGUGCCGGAAGGUUAAUUGAUGGGGUCAGCGCAAGCGAAGCUCUUGAUCGAAGCCCCGGUAAACGGCGGCCGUAACUAUAACGGUCCUAAGGUAGCGAAAUUCCUUGUCGGGUAAGUUCCGACCUGCACGAAUGGCGUAAUGAUGGCCAGGCUGUCUCCACCCGAGACUCAGUGAAAUUGAACUCGCUGUGAAGAUGCAGUGUACCCGCGGCAAGACGGAAAGACCCCGUGAACCUUUACUAUAGCUUGACACUGAACAUUGAGCCUUGAUGUGUAGGAUAGGUGGGAGGCUUUGAAGUGUGGACGCCAGUCUGCAUGGAGCCGACCUUGAAAUACCACCCUUUAAUGUUUGAUGUUCUAACGUGGACCCGUGAUCCGGGUUGCGGACAGUGUCUGGUGGGUAGUUUGACUGGGGCGGUCUCCUCCUAAAGAGUAACGGAGGAGCACGAAGGUUGGCUAAUCCUGGUCGGACAUCAGGAGGUUAGUGCAAUGGCAUAAGCCAGCUUGACUGCGAGCGUGACGGCGCGAGCAGGUGCGAAAGCAGGUCAUAGUGAUCCGGUGGUUCUGAAUGGAAGGGCCAUCGCUCAACGGAUAAAAGGUACUCCGGGGAUAACAGGCUGAUACCGCCCAAGAGUUCAUAUCGACGGCGGUGUUUGGCACCUCGAUGUCGGCUCAUCACAUCCUGGGGCUGAAGUAGGUCCCAAGGGUAUGGCUGUUCGCCAUUUAAAGUGGUACGCGAGCUGGGUUUAGAACGUCGUGAGACAGUUCGGUCCCUAUCUGCCGUGGGCGCUGGAGAACUGAGGGGGGCUGCUCCUAGUACGAGAGGACCGGAGUGGACGCAUCACUGGUGUUCGGGUUGUCAUGCCAAUGGCACUGCCCGGUAGCUAAAUGCGGAAGAGAUAAGUGCUGAAAGCAUCUAAGCACGAAACUUGCCCCGAGAUGAGUUCUCCCUGACCCUUUAAGGGUCCUGAAGGAACGUUGAAGACGACGACGUUGAUAGGCCGGGUGUGUAAGCGCAGCGAUGCGUUGAGCUAACCGGUACUAAUGAACCGUGAGGCUUAACCUUACAACGCCGAAGGUGUUU
RNAcentral lists this ribosomal RNA (1994 nucleotides) under Escherichia coli O157:H7. RNAcentral describes it as "partial 23S ribosomal RNA". It matches the Rfam family "Bacterial large subunit ribosomal RNA", at positions 969 to 2925 of the family's 2925-position model. The record is from RNAcentral. Lineage: Bacteria; Pseudomonadati; Pseudomonadota; Gammaproteobacteria; Enterobacterales; Enterobacteriaceae.